This 536-nucleotide ribosomal RNA is filed under the name uncultured Bacillota bacterium. RNAcentral's name for it is "SSU rRNA". It matches the Rfam family "Bacterial small subunit ribosomal RNA", at positions 8 to 527 of the family's 1533-position model. The record is from RNAcentral. Lineage: Bacteria; Bacillati; Bacillota.
AGAGUUUGAUCAUGGCUCAGGACGAACGCUGGCGGCGUGCCUAAUACAUGCAAGUCGAGCGGAAUGAUGGGAGCUUGCUCCCUGAUUUCAGCGGCGGACGGGUGAGUAACACGUGGGCAACCUGCCCUGCAGAUGGGGAUAACUCCGGGAAACCGGGGCUAAUACCGAAUAAUCGGUUCUUCCGCAUGGAAGAACUCUGAAAGACGGUUUCGGCUGUCACUGCAGGAUGGGCCCGCGGCGCAUUAGCUAGUUGGUGGGAUAACGGCCUACCAAGGCGACGAUGCGUAGCCGACCUGAGAGGGUGAUCGGCCACACUGGGACUGAGACACGGCCCAGACUCCUACGGGAGGCAGCAGUAGGGAAUCUUCCACAAUGGACGAAAGUCUGAUGGAGCAACGCCGCGUGAGCGAAGAAGGUUUUCGGAUCGUAAAGCUCUGUUGCGAGGGAAGAACAAGUACGGGAGUAACUGCCCGUACCUUGACGGUACCUCGUCAGAAAGCCACGGCUAACUACGUGCCAGCAGCCGCGGUAAUACG